This 60-nucleotide transfer RNA is filed under the name Phyllodiaptomus tunguidus. RNAcentral's name for it is "tRNA-Asn". The record is from RNAcentral. Lineage: Eukaryota; Metazoa; Arthropoda; Copepoda; Calanoida; Diaptomidae.
UUUAAUAGAAGUUUAAAACAUUUCAUUGUUAAUGAGAAAAUGGGCCAGAGCCCCUAUUAA